Molecule: ribosomal RNA, 586 nt
Filed under: Trichosporon asahii
Lineage: Eukaryota; Fungi; Basidiomycota; Tremellomycetes; Trichosporonales; Trichosporonaceae
Description: partial large subunit ribosomal RNA
Rfam family: Eukaryotic large subunit ribosomal RNA
Source: RNAcentral
ACUAACAAGGAUUCCCCUAGUAACGGCGAGUGAAGCGGGAAGAGCUCAAAUUUGAAAUCUGGCAGUCUUCGAUUGUCCGAGUUGUAAUCUAUAGAGGCGUUUUCCGUGCCGGACCGUGUCCAAGUCUCCUGGAAAGGAGUAUCAAAGAGGGUGAUAAUCCCGUACUUAACACGACCACCGGUGCUCUGUGAUACGUCUUCUACGAGUCGAGUUGUUUGGGAAUGCAGCUCAAAAUGGGUGGUGAAUUCCAUCUAAAGCUAAAUAUUGGCGAGAGACCGAUAGCGAACAAGUACCGUGAGGGAAAGAUGAAAAGCACUUUGGAAAGAGAGUUAAACAGUACGUGAAAUUGUUGAAAGGGAAACGAUUGAAGUCAGUCGUGUUCUUUGGAUUCAGCCAGUUCUGCUGGUCUACUUCCUUGGAACGGGUCAACAUCAGUUUUGUCCGGUGGAUAAAGGUAGUAGGAAUGUGACUUCUCCGGAAGUGUUAUAGCCUAUUAUCACAUACACUGGGUGAGACUGAGGACUGCAGCUCGCCUUUAUGGCCGGCCUUCGGGCACGUUCGAGCUUAGGAUGUUGACAUAAUGGCU